UGCAAGUGGUUUUUUCUUUAAAAAAAUUUAUUUUAAAGAUUGACAUUAACAUACCCUUGGGCAACCUAAUUGUUUUGGUCCGAUGAUCUAAUGAUGGUUUCACCUGAUAAACUAGAUUGGAUCUCCUAUGCAUGUGCCAUGUUGGCAUGUCUAUUUGUGUAGAGAUGACUAUGGAGGGGAUUGCAAACCGCUAAGGCCUUGUGCCUAGGUAUAGUAAUUUGCCACAUUUAGCUGUAUGUUUCUUGCAAUUUUGUUUUAAGUAACUAGCAAUAUCUAGGCCAUGCCUAGACAAUCUCCUUUUGAUUUUUACAUGGAUGCUUAUUCAAAAAAUGAUGUGUGUAGCGUUGUUGGUUGACAUGAGCUGGUUUUUGGCUGCAGGUAAUUGAUUAUGGAGUUCAUAAGCUUUGGAAAUACAAUAACGUUGGGGUAUUUUAUCUAUUACCUACCUUGUCAAUUCCAUGUUGAAUUGCCUCAUUGAGCUGCUUGUAAAAACUAUCUGGUCCUCUUCUUAAUGGACCUUUUUUUUCAAAAGGAGGGGUCUCGCCCCUAUAUUUGCCAAUAUGAACAGGGGAUGGACAAUCCACACACAUUCAGGUGGGCACCACAAAAAUGUCGGGCCUCACAGAGAGCAGGAGGCCAUUUCACGCACUCCAUGAUGUUGGUCUGAUUAAAACAAUGACCGAAAAUUGCUUCUUUGGUGCUCUUAAGGAGUUACUGUACCUGUAUGGAUUUGUCAUCGACAAUAAUCCAGAUGACUAUCUCAUGAGUAUGAUGGCAAUUAAUAUAACUAAUCAACAUGCAGUUGGAUGAAAAUUUGGUAAUCUGAUUAUAAUUUAGUACAGGUUCAUUAUCUAAUGGAAGCCUUUCAGAGUGUUCCAAUAGCUGAUUCCAAAGUGCAACUUCUAGAAAUACAGAAGGCUGAAAUGAGGUGUCUCUUACCAAGAAGUCUACUAGAUCAUGGAUUUUUUUUCUGGAUCCCCUCUGCAUGAAGAAGACAGGAAUAAGAAAUCAAAUGGCCUAUUUUGCAGUGUCUUUUUUGUGCUACAGGCUCGUGAGAAGUUUCUAUCAUUGAGGAAAGGUACAAAGUCGAAUGUUGAUGCUGUCUUAGAAGAGGACCUCCACAUUGCAAGGUCUUCAUUCGAGCGGGCUCAUUAUCAUCAUUCUUGUCAUGAUGGAAUUAAAAAAUGAAUCACUUUCAGGUUGUUGCUAGUUUCACAUGCCCAAGACGCACCGUCCUUGAUGAGAGGCUUAAGUGUAGUGAGCAUUCAACUGCAGUAUUAAUUGGUACCUUGCUUCAUCAAAAUUUUUAGGUUUUAUGUUCAAAAAUUGCCUUUUCUAAGAAACAGGAUCUGCAUAAAUGGUCCCAAAUGUCACUGACUUCACAAACCAUAGUUAAAAAAAGGAUCUCAUCCAAUGUGUAUCUUUGCUAUCUAGAUAUCUCUCAUGUUACCAGAGUUGAGGCUGUGUGUGUCGGUUUGUGCAAGGGCCAUACUAUUGUGGUGUCGGAGCUGACAAGGCAUUUAGACGAUCCUGCAGUUGGUUAUACUUACAAUCCGUGAUCUGUUGUAUUCUGAAAUUUGUUUAUUUAGAAAUGUGAAUGUAGGAUGCAUUGUAUGAUUUGAUUGCUAUUUGUAAUAUGAAUGCAUCACUUUCUUU
Magnolia sinica is the source of this 1656-nucleotide RNA transcript. RefSeq lists it as uncharacterized. The transcript has 5 exons. The record is from RefSeq and is a predicted model, not a curated record. Lineage: Eukaryota; Viridiplantae; Streptophyta; Magnoliopsida; Magnoliales; Magnoliaceae.